RNAcentral lists this ribosomal RNA (630 nucleotides) under uncultured Sebacina. Its description in RNAcentral is "eukaryotic LSU rRNA". The stretch from base 225 to 378 matches the Rfam family "5.8S ribosomal RNA". Lineage: Eukaryota; Fungi; Basidiomycota; Agaricomycetes; Sebacinales; Sebacinaceae. The record is from RNAcentral.
UAGAGGAAGUAAAAGUCGUAACAAGGUUUCCGUAGGUGAACCUGCGGAAGGAUCAUUAGUGAUUAAACUGUUGCCCUCUGUGCUGGCUCUGCAAGUGCACGUCGGUGACUUUCAUUCCAAUACCCUUGUGAACCUUUGGCCUCUUGCUAGCUUCGGCUGGCAGAGGAUUCUACAUACAAACUCGCAUGUAAUGAAACUCUUGUUGUGCACAAGCACUACUAUACAACUUUCAACAACGGAUCUCUUGGCUCUCGCAUCGAUGAAGAACGCAGCGAAAUGCGAUAAGUAAUGUGAAUUGCAGAAUUCAGUGAAUCAUCGAAUCUUUGAACGCACCUUGCACCCUUUGGCAUUCUGAAGGGUAUGCUCGUUUGAGUGUCAUUGUACUCUCACACUUCCGAUCUUGCAUUGGGAGCGGUGGACUUGGGUUUGCUGCCUUACCGUAGCUUACCUCAAAUGUGUUAGUGCAGCUCUUGGUUGGACAUAGUACGGCGUGAUAAGUAUCUUCGCCGGUGCCUCGCAAUUGCGAGGGUGGCCGAUCGGGAUGUUGUGCUCCAAACCGUCUUCGGACAAUCUCUGACAACUUGACCUCAAAUCGAGUAAGACUACCCGCUGAACUUAAGCAUAUCAAUA